Molecule: transfer RNA, 73 nt
Filed under: Camelus bactrianus (Bactrian camel)
Lineage: Eukaryota; Metazoa; Chordata; Mammalia; Artiodactyla; Camelidae
Also listed under: 2 other names
Rfam family: tRNA
About the family: Transfer RNA (tRNA) molecules are approximately 80 nucleotides in length. Their secondary structure includes four short double-helical elements and three loops (D, anti-codon, and T loops).
Source: Rfam by way of RNAcentral
GAGGGUAUAGCUCAAGUCGUAGAGUGCGUGCUUAGCAUGCAUGAGGUCCUGGGUUCAAUCCCCAGUACCUCCU